Molecule: small nuclear RNA, 341 nt
Filed under: Chinchilla lanigera (long-tailed chinchilla)
Lineage: Eukaryota; Metazoa; Chordata; Mammalia; Rodentia; Chinchillidae
Description: 7SK RNA (ENSCLAG00000022143.1)
Rfam family: 7SK RNA
About the family: 7SK was discovered as an abundant small nuclear RNA in the mid-70s but a possible function has only recently been suggested.
Source: RNAcentral
GGAUAUGAGGGCGAUCUGUCUGCGACAUCUGUCACCCUACUGAUCACCAGGGCUGAUUCGGCUUAUCUGGCUAGCUAGGAGGGUGUCUCCUUCCUCCCUCAAUGCUCCAUAUGUGUCCCUCCUAAAGCUGCGCGCUUGGUCAAAGAGGACGACCAUCCCCAAUAAAGGAGGACCGUUCCUCAGUUGAGGGUAUACUAGUAGCUGAGCUCCACUGCUAGAACCUCCAAACACGCUCUCAAGAUCUUAUUUAACUUUCAUCAAGGGUUAUAGAGACUUCCCAGGGGAAAGGGCAAUUCUAGGAAAAAUAAGCUAAAGUCCACUCUGGUUGGUUCCUUCCCAGU